This 466-nucleotide long non-coding RNA is filed under the name Anser cygnoides (Swan goose). RNAcentral's name for it is "lncRNA (ENSACDG00005004721.1)". The record is from RNAcentral. Lineage: Eukaryota; Metazoa; Chordata; Aves; Anseriformes; Anatidae.
AUGUUGCAUGUGUUGACAGCGUGCCAUCCCCGCAUAAUGUGCGAGCAUUACAAAAAAGUUCCUUUGCUUUGCAGGAACUGUAAGGUCAGAAAUGGAGUGAGACUGCAAACCCAGCUGCCUGUGAGGCUUCCCAGACCAUGCAAAAUGCCAGAAGUUCCUGUGUCAAGCCAGAUCUACUCUGGGGGAGAACUGGCUGAGUUUUGUCCAAACCCAACCUUGCUCUCCCCAGCCUCUCCUCCCCACGCAGACACAUAUGUAUCCCUGCUAGAGUUCUCCUUGGGCCUGACUCACCUCCUCCUGGAAUCACUGGACAUCUUUCUCCUGGAUUUGUUGGAAGCUUAUCUGGUCAUGUACAUUUUAUUUUGAAUUUCUGAGAAAUUUAUGUACAAUGCUGUGAGUUGAUGUAGAAGUAAACAUUUAUUGUACAGAGAAUAAAUACUGAAAAGUGAUGUUAUUUAAUGGAAAA